GUCGAGCGGAGAGGCCCUUCGGGGUACUCGAGCGGCGNANGGGUGAGUAACACGUGAGUAACCUGCCCUAGGCUUUGGGAUAACCCUCGGAAACGGGGGCUAAUACCGGAUAGUCACUUCUGACGGCAUCGUUGGUGGUGGAAAGUUUUUCGGUCUGGGAUGGGCUCGCGGCCUAUCAGCUUGUUGGUGGGGUGAUGGCCUACCAAGGCGACGACGGGUAGCCGGCCUG
Molecule: ribosomal RNA, 229 nt
Filed under: uncultured soil bacterium
Lineage: Bacteria
Description: partial 16S ribosomal RNA
Rfam family: Bacterial small subunit ribosomal RNA
Source: RNAcentral